GUGUGUGUGUGUGUGUGUGCGUCCUGGCCCUGCCAAAAGUGGGGAUUGUAACAUAUCAUUAAACUUAGUACCAAGGUGUUAUGACUCACCUUGUUUGCCUGGGCCCUGCAUAUAUUUGGUAAUGUGACGUAUGGCUGAGACAAACACCUAGGGCAUGAGAGCCUUGUGCCUGGGUCCUGCCCACAAGGAGCCUUUUGGCUUAUCUCUGCAUCCAUGAACUAGGAGAUGUGACUCUUCUUUUCUGUCUGGGUUCUGCAAAAACAAGUGAUUGUGACAUAUCAUCAAACCCAGCAACUAGACGAUGUGAUUUUUCUUCCCUGCUUGAGCCCUGGAUAUGCUGUGCAUUGUGAUAUAUGGCUGGGUCCAACAUCAAGGAGAGAUUGUGACAUAUCUCUGGAACCAGAACCUUGGUGAUGUGACUCUUCUCUCCUGCUGAAGCCAUGCCCACACAAGGGAAAGUGACUUAUCACUGGGCCCAGCACACAGCGCUAUUCACAGGGAAAAUAGUGACACAUCUGUGGGGUUCUCACCGAAAUGAUGUGACUCUCUUGCCUGGGCUCACCUCUCAAGGGAAUUUUGACAUAUUACUGGACCAAGCACCUAGGUGAUGUGGCUCUGACAGAGGAGAAAUUGUGAUGUACCACUGUUUCCAGCACCUAAGAGAUCUGACUCUCCUCUUUUGCAUAGGCCCUGCAUUUAUUGUGUAUUGUGACAUAUGGCUUGGUCCAACACCUAGGUGGUGUGACUCUCUACUUCUUCCUGUGCCAUGCCAAAGAAGAGGAUUGUGACAUAUCACUGGAUCCAGCACCUAGGUGAUGUAAAUCUUUUCUUUUGCUGAGCCAUGAAUAUUUUUGGUAUUGUGACAUGUCACUGGACCCAACACCUACAGGAUUGGGUCAGAGGCUACUGAAUAAGCCCUGUCCAUAGGUGGCCUUGUGACAUAUGUCUGCCUCUAUCACCAAAGUGAUGUGACACUUUUUCUGCCUGCAUCCUGCACAUAGAGAAGAUUGUGACAUAUCGCUGGGCCCAGUAACCAGGUGAUGUGUCUUUUCUGGCAGGUCUUUUCCCACAGGGAGCAUUGUGAAAUAUCACUGGGCUCAGCCCCCAGGUUAUGUGACCUUUCUGCCUUGCCCUGCUCCCAGGAAAUGUUGUGACAUCCCUCAUACAGCACCCAGGUGAUGCGACUCUUCUGCUCAUUUUCUACUUAUACUUGGGAUUGUGACAAAUAUCCUGGUCCAACUCAUAGGUGCUAUGAUGAUUCCCAUACCUGGAAUCAGCUAAUAGGGGAGAUAGUGUCUCUUGUAUUGUAGCUUAGGGAAAAAAGUAACAUCUUGGGCCUCCUCUUUGUAUGAAUGUCAUAAAGAAUUACCAAUC
This 1374-nucleotide long non-coding RNA is filed under the name Homo sapiens (human). RNAcentral's name for it is "novel transcript". Lineage: Eukaryota; Metazoa; Chordata; Mammalia; Primates; Hominidae. The record is from RNAcentral.